RNAcentral lists this unclassified non-coding RNA (342 nucleotides) under Hevea brasiliensis (rubber tree). Lineage: Eukaryota; Viridiplantae; Streptophyta; Magnoliopsida; Malpighiales; Euphorbiaceae. The record is from RNAcentral.
GGCCAUUCUUGGACCUAAAAAGGGUAAUAUCUUUGUCUUUUUCUUUCUGAUCCAAUUUUUCUCACUAACUUCUUUUUCUAUGCAAGUGUGGCUAGGAUUUAAGUUGAAAGGGCAGAGAAGAAAAGGAAAAGAGAGCUCGCCAAGCAAGUUCUUUAAAAGAAGAAAGUGGCAUCACAGGCUGCUGCUGCUGCAAAGACUAAAGAGCAACCUCCUUGAAAGAGAUCCUAAGCUAAAGACUCAAUCUCUCCUACUCUUACCCAAAAUGAGCUUUCAGACCUUAGAUCUCCUCUAUUCUUGAUGCGAUCUCUUGCUCAACCACUUAUCUCAACUGUUUCUGGGGGU